GGAUGAGCCCGCGGCCUAUCAGCUUGUUGGUGGGGUAAUGGCCCACCAAGGCGACGACGGGUAGCCGGCCUGAGAGGGCGACCGGCCACACUGGGACUGAGACACGGCCCAGACUCCUACGGGAGGCAGCAGUGGGGAAUAUUGCACAAUGGGCGAAAGCCUGAUGCAGCGACGCCGCGUGAGGGAUGACGGCCUUCGGGUUGUAAACCUCUUUCAGCAGGGAAGAAGCGAAAGUGACGGUACCUGCAGAAGAAGCGCCGGCUAACUACGUGCCAGCAGCCGCGGUAAUACGUAGGGCGCAAGCGUUGUCCGGAAUUAUUGGGCGUAAAGAGCUCGUAGGCGGCCUGUCACGUCGGAUGUGAAAGCCCGAGGCUUAACCUCGGGUCUGCAUUCGAUACGGGCUAGCUAGAGUGUGGUAGGGGAGAUCGGAGUUCCUGGUGUAGCGGUGAAAUGCGCAGAUAUCAGGAGGAACACCGGUGGCGAAGGCGGAUCUCUGGGCCAUUACUGACGCUGAGGAGCGAAAGCGUGGGGAGCGAACAGGAUUAGAUACCCUGGUAGUCCACGCCGUAAACGUUGGGAACUAGGUGUUGGCGACAUUCCACGUCGUCGGUGCCGCAGCUAACGCAUUAAGUUCCCCGC
Molecule: ribosomal RNA, 639 nt
Filed under: uncultured Streptomyces sp.
Lineage: Bacteria; Bacillati; Actinomycetota; Actinomycetes; Kitasatosporales; Streptomycetaceae
Description: bacterial SSU rRNA
Rfam family: Bacterial small subunit ribosomal RNA
Source: RNAcentral